RNAcentral lists this ribosomal RNA (328 nucleotides) under uncultured eukaryote. RNAcentral's name for it is "partial 18S ribosomal RNA". It matches the Rfam family "Eukaryotic small subunit ribosomal RNA", at positions 1470 to 1796 of the family's 1831-position model. The record is from RNAcentral.
CCCUUAGAUGUCCUGGGCCGCACGCGCGUUACACUGAUGCAUUCAACGAGCUUAUAACCUUGGCCGAGAGGCCUGGGCAAUCUUGUUAACGUGCAUCGUGAUAGGGAUAGAUUAUUGAAAUUAUUAAUCUUGAACGAGGAAUUCCUAGUAAACGCAGAUCAUCAAUCUGCAUUGAUUACGUCCCUGCCCUUUGUACACACCGCCCGUCGCACCUACCGAUUGGAUGGUCCGGUGAAGCCUCGGGAUUGUGGUUCUUGCCGCUUUAUUGUGGCGUGACCGCGAGAACUUGUCUAAACCUUAUCAUCUAGAGGAAGAUGAAGUCGUAACA